RNAcentral lists this small nucleolar RNA (105 nucleotides) under Olea europaea subsp. europaea. RNAcentral's name for it is "Plant small nucleolar RNA R71". It matches the Rfam family "Plant small nucleolar RNA R71". From Rfam's summary of the family: R71 is a member of the C/D box family of snoRNAs containing the C (UGAUGA) and D (CUGA) box motifs. Lineage: Eukaryota; Viridiplantae; Streptophyta; Magnoliopsida; Lamiales; Oleaceae. The record is from Rfam by way of RNAcentral.
ACCAUGUCGUGGACUUUGUUGUAGCAAACCUUUGUAUCUUUCUCAUGCCUCAUAUUAGCACUCCAAAUCAAGCUGAGAGAAUUUAGUGAUUUCAUCCCUCAACUU